RNAcentral lists this ribosomal RNA (106 nucleotides) under Citrobacter braakii. RNAcentral describes it as "partial 23S ribosomal RNA". It matches the Rfam family "Bacterial large subunit ribosomal RNA", at positions 2820 to 2925 of the family's 2925-position model. Lineage: Bacteria; Pseudomonadati; Pseudomonadota; Gammaproteobacteria; Enterobacterales; Enterobacteriaceae. The record is from RNAcentral.
AAGGGUCCUGAAGGAACGUUGAAGACGACGACGUUGAUAGGUCGGGUGUGUAAGCGUAGCGAUACGUUGAGCUAACCGAUACUAAUGAACCGUGAGGCUUAACCUU